RNAcentral lists this ribosomal RNA (347 nucleotides) under Clostridioides difficile. Its description in RNAcentral is "partial 23S ribosomal RNA". It matches the Rfam family "Bacterial large subunit ribosomal RNA", at positions 47 to 395 of the family's 2925-position model. Lineage: Bacteria; Bacillati; Bacillota; Clostridia; Peptostreptococcales; Peptostreptococcaceae. The record is from RNAcentral.
CGAUGAAGGACGUGAUAAGCUGCGAUAAGCUUCGGGGAGUUGCACGUAAACUUUGAUCCGAAGAUUUCCGAAUGAGGAAACUCACUUAGAGUAAUGUCUAAGUAUCAUUAAGUGAAUACAUAGCUUAAUGAGGGGAACUCAGGGAACUGAAACAUCUAAGUACCUGAAGGAAGAGAAAGAAAUUCGAUUCCGUAAGUAGCGGCGAGCGAACGCGGAUUAGCCCAAACCAAUAAAGUUUUCUUUAUUGGGGUUGCGGACAUAUCAUAACGAAGAGGUAUCGUAAUUGAAGAGGUUUGGAAAGACCCACCACAGAAGGUAAUAGUCCUGUAUGUUAAACGAGAAGACUU